UAAAAUAAAAGUCAGACAUCCAUUCCUCAUAUCUCCUUGGCUACCCCUAUUUGUCAACUAAGAACGAGUCUCUUAAGAAAUACUAAAUUCUCAAAAUUAACAUCAAAUACUAUCAAACUAACCUUUUCUUUCCCUCAUCUCCCAUACUACUGAGACUUUCUUUCUCAAUCCAUCAAUGUCCCUUUCUACACACCCACUUCUCCUCAAGGUUUAGAAGUGUUUGCCCAGCCAGAUGUAACCAACUUCAUUUUGUCUAAAUAUCAUCAACAAGAAAAAUGUAAUGCAUAUUUAUCCAGGAACUUACACUGUCUUCUUCAGCUCCUGGGUGGCUCACAAGCUCUCCUGGGAUGUCUUCAUGCAUGCUGUCCUUGCCUGUCCACAUUCAUCAGAGAUAUGCAUCAGUGAUGCCUCUACCAGAACACAUUACCAUACUCAUAGUAUUUUUGUCAUGUGUCUGAAAUAUAAGGUGAAGAAAACACAGCAGAACUGAUAUAUUGAACAAUUGUGAAAGGUGAUGGUUGCUUUGGAACUUAAAGGAGAGUGCUGAUUUCUCUCUGGAGUUUCUGGAGAACAGGUACCCACAUGUUGUAACCCUAAUGGACAUGGGAACCAAUGACUGAGUCUUCCACGUUUUGUGAGGAAUCAGCAACUGUCCUAGUGUGGAUCUGAAAGAGGUCUUUGCACAUGGACCUGUCUGUGUUACUAUCUGUUUUAUAUUCAAUGGGAAAAAGUAAAUUACUUCACCUGACUUGCUGUUUCAAGAAUUCAUACUGUGAAUCAACCACUAGGAGGAGCUAUGAGAACUCAUUUGCAUGACUAACCCCUCUUCUGAGAGGUCCCUAGAGAUGAGAUACUGAGGCAUCCCAGAUAGAAGACCCUGGUCUAAGAAGAAGCUGUGCUGUGCCUACCAUAGUCUUAGACUCCUCUCAUCUUCAUGAUUCUAUCUUACUGUACAGGUUCCUUUUCUCAGUCUGUACUGAUACAACCACCCUCCAUCUCUGAGGCUCUUGAUUCAAUAGCCAGACUCACUUGUACUCUGAGGAGUGGCAUCAGUGUUGCUGGUAAAAACAUUUACUGGUACAAGCAGAUGCAGGGGAGCUCUCCUUGGUUUUUCCUGACUACUACUCAGACUCAAACAUGCAGCUGGGGCCUGGAGUCACCAAUAGAAUCUCUGGAUCCAAAGAUACCUCCCAAAAUGCUGCACAUUUGCACAUCUCUGAGCUACAAGCAGAGGAUGAGGCUGACUAUUACUGUGUCAUCUCGGAAAGUAAUGUUUCUCACAGUGAUAUAGGCAGAUGGGGAAGUAAGGCAUAAAUUCUCGCUUGUGAUAAAAAAUCAG
This is a long non-coding RNA of Peromyscus leucopus (white-footed mouse), 1339 nucleotides long. RefSeq lists it as uncharacterized. The record is from RefSeq and is a predicted model, not a curated record. The transcript is spliced from 2 exons. Lineage: Eukaryota; Metazoa; Chordata; Mammalia; Rodentia; Cricetidae.